Molecule: ribosomal RNA, 417 nt
Filed under: uncultured bacterium
Lineage: Bacteria
Description: bacterial SSU rRNA
Rfam family: Bacterial small subunit ribosomal RNA
Source: RNAcentral
GAAUAUUGGACAAUGGGUGAAAGCCUGAUCCAGCCAUCCCGCGUGAAGGAUGACGGUCCUAUGGGUUGUAAACUUCUUUUGUACAGGGAUAAACCUACUCUCGUGAGGGUAGCUGAAGGUACUGUAAGAAUAAGGAUCGGCUAACUCCGUGCCAGCAGCCGCGGUAAUACGGAGGAUCCGAGCGUUAUCCGGAAUCAUUGGGUUUAAAGGGUCCGUAGGCGGCUAUAUAAGUCAGCGGUGAAAGUUUUUGGCUUAACCAAAAAAUUGCCGUUGAUACUGUAUGGCUUGAAUAUUUGUGAAGUAACUAGAAUAUGUAGUGUAGCGGUGAAAUGCUUAGAUAUUACAUGGAAUACCAAUUGCGCAGGCAGGUUACUAACAAAUGAUUGACGCUGAUGGACGAAAGCGUGGGUAGCGAAC